CGUAGGUGGCAAGCGUUGUCCGGAUUUAUUGGGUUUAAAGGGUGCGUAGGCGGUCUUAUAAGUCAGUGCUGAAAUAUCCCGGCUUAACCGGGAGGGUGGCAUUGAUACUGUAGGACUUGAGUAAAGUUGAGGUUGGCGGAAUUGACGGUGUAGCGGUGAAAUGCUUAGAUAUCGUCAAGAACACCUAUAGUGAGGACAGCUAACUAAGCUUUAACUGACGCUGAGGCACGAAAGUGUGGGGAUCAAACAGGAUUAGAUACCCUGGUAGUCCACACUGUAAACGUUGAAGACUCGCUGUUGGCGAUACACAGUCAGCGGCUGAGAGAAAUCGUUAAGUCUUCCACCUGGGGAGUACGCCGGCAACGGUG
This 368-nucleotide ribosomal RNA is filed under the name uncultured organism. RNAcentral's name for it is "bacterial SSU rRNA". It matches the Rfam family "Bacterial small subunit ribosomal RNA", at positions 526 to 896 of the family's 1533-position model. The record is from RNAcentral.